RNAcentral lists this long non-coding RNA (765 nucleotides) under Dromaius novaehollandiae (emu). Its description in RNAcentral is "lncRNA (ENSDNVG00000013689.1)". The record is from RNAcentral. Lineage: Eukaryota; Metazoa; Chordata; Aves; Casuariiformes; Dromaiidae.
CAGGCUGUGCUCUAGAAAAAUUAAUUGAACUGUUACACUCAUAGUCAUUUUUAAUUUCAAGAGUUAAGUGCUCCUUUCUGACCUGAUAGGUUGCUCAGCCCAACCCGAAGGCAAGGAUUGUUAUUGACAAGUCUGUGUGCUUACAGUCUCCRGAAGAGUUGGGAGUGGCAAAACAGGUUUAGUUUUGAAAGAACAAGUCACAUCCUUUUGGCAGGACAAGGUAACUGUUCAUGUACCCCUGCAGACAGAGGAAAGCAGCUAUGCCUGUACUUCAAUGAAAAUCUUCAUGUGCUUCAAGUUGCUGGUAGGAUGCUUCCCUUGCUUCACAUCAAAGAUGUGCCCGAGUGCUUCUUUACACCUAAACUAAAACAGGUAAGCAAGCCAUGCCUGCAUUUUACAGCUUCUAACAUUUUUUCACUAGUGUGCUGAAUAAUGAUUAGGAGAUACAACUGACACACAGGGUGAAGAUGUCUUUUUCAGGUCAAAAAGACAUGCCCCUAGGCCUGUGGGACRCCGAAGAGAGCAGAGGAAACGUAUCUUCCCUGACCCGCUCAGGUAAAGCCAACGUUAGGUAGGAGAGCAGUCUGUUUUCCACUGACAGUGCUGCAGAUGGCAGAUGAGAGUGACUGCUCCAUCACUUCUGAAGCACUUCUUUUCUCCUUCUGCUUUUCAGGGUGUUCCCAGAGCUGCCAGUAGCAGUGACAGCACUGGGUGCAAGAGCAGUGAUAWCAAUAAAUCCCACUACCAGUGAUGGAAGUGAUAGCA